CAGUUCUUCCUGGGGAAAGUAAUCUUUGCGGCUCUAAUCUUACCAAUGUCUUCUUUAGCAGGAACAGCUGCAGCUCUUGCGGGAUGAAAAUAUCAGGCUAAGCAAGCUGAUGUGUAAGCUAAAGACUCUGAACUGUUGGAAGCAAACCACUCGGAAGACACAGCUCUGCAAAGCUUAGAGAUGCUGAGAAGGAAGCUCUUCAAAACAAAAAAGAGCGUCUGAAUGCUAAGAUGAUGGCAGAACAAGAGGUGGCUUCAUUUCAGGGGCAGCUCAUGUCUGUAAGGAGAGCUCUUGCAAAAUCUCAAGCAGACAAUGACAAGCUAAAGAAACAGCUCCAUAAACAGAAACAAAUGCGGUUGGAAGUAGUACAGAGGAAGACAGAAGUGACAAGUAUUCAGUGUGAUGAGAGCUGAAAAUAUAGAGAAGAUGCUUGAAGAGAUGGAAGAAAAAGAGCAGAGUGAAAUGCCUAACCAAGGAAGCUGAAAAAGCUUCUAAAACAUGCCAUCUUCAACAAAAAGGGCCC
This is a long non-coding RNA of Harpia harpyja (harpy eagle), 523 nucleotides long. RefSeq lists it as uncharacterized. NCBI's taxonomy places the organism in Eukaryota, Metazoa, Chordata, Aves, Accipitriformes, Accipitridae. The record is from RefSeq and is a predicted model, not a curated record. The transcript is spliced from 3 exons.